RNAcentral lists this ribosomal RNA (447 nucleotides) under uncultured bacterium. Its description in RNAcentral is "partial 16S ribosomal RNA". It matches the Rfam family "Bacterial small subunit ribosomal RNA", at positions 29 to 523 of the family's 1533-position model. The record is from RNAcentral.
AGCGAACGCUGGCGGCAGGCUUAACACAUGCAAGUCGAGCGCCCCGCAAGGGGAGCGGCAGACGGGCGAGUAACACGUGGGAACGUACCCUUUGGUUCGGAACAACCCAGGGAAACUUGGGCUAAUACCGGAUACGUCCGUAAGGAGAAAGAUUUAUCGCCAAAGGAUCGGCCCGCGUCUGAUUAGCUAGUUGGUGAGGUAAUGGCUCACCAAGGCUACGAUCAGUAGCUGGUCUGAGAGGAUGAUCAGCCACAUUGGGACUGAGACACGGCCCAAACUCCUACGGGAGGCAGCAGUGGGGAAUAUUGGACAAUGGGGGCAACCCUGAUCCAGCCAUGCCGCGUGAGUGAUGAAGGCCCUAGGGUUGUAAAGCUCUUUUAGCAGGGAAGAUAAUGACGGUACCUGCAGAAAAAGCCCCGGCUAACUUCGUGCCAGCAGCCGCCGUAA